ACGCUCGACACCUACGGGAGGCAGCAGUGGGGAAUAUUGGGCAAUGGGCGCAAGCCUGACCCAGCAACGCCGCGUGAGGGAUGAAGGCUUUCGGGUUGUAAACUUCUUUUAUCAGGGACGAAACAAAUGACGGUACCUGAUGAAUAAGCCACGGCUAACUACGUGCCAUCAGCGGCGGUAAUCUGAGCGGGCUGGCAAGGC
Molecule: ribosomal RNA, 201 nt
Filed under: uncultured bacterium
Lineage: Bacteria
Description: partial 16S ribosomal RNA
Rfam family: Bacterial small subunit ribosomal RNA
Source: RNAcentral